RNAcentral lists this ribosomal RNA (396 nucleotides) under uncultured Tylospora. Its description in RNAcentral is "eukaryotic LSU rRNA". It matches the Rfam family "Eukaryotic large subunit ribosomal RNA", at positions 1 to 387 of the family's 3401-position model. Lineage: Eukaryota; Fungi; Basidiomycota; Agaricomycetes; Atheliales; Atheliaceae. The record is from RNAcentral.
UUGACCUCAAAUCAGGUAGGACUACCCGCUGAACUUAAGCAUAUCAAUAAGCGGAGGAAAAGAAACUAACAAGGAUUCCCCUAGUAACUGCGAGUGAAGCGGGAAGAGCUCAAAUUUAAAAUCUGGUGGUCCUCGCGGCCGUCCGAGUUGUAAUCUGGAGAAGCGUUUUCCGCGUCGGACCGUGUACAAGUCUUCUGGAAUGGAGCGUCGUAGAGGGUGAGAAUCCCGUCUCUGACACGGACCGCCGAUGCUUUUGUGAUACGCUCUCGAAGAGUCGAGUUGUUUGGGAAUGCAGCUCAAAACGGGUGGUAAAUUCCAUCUAAAGCUAAAUAUUGGCGAGAGACCGAUAGCGAACAAGUACCGUGAGGGAAAGAUGAAAAGCACUUUGGAAGAGAU